Molecule: ribosomal RNA, 1457 nt
Filed under: uncultured Bordetella sp.
Lineage: Bacteria; Pseudomonadati; Pseudomonadota; Betaproteobacteria; Burkholderiales; Alcaligenaceae
Description: partial 16S-23S ribosomal RNA intergenic spacer
Rfam family: Bacterial small subunit ribosomal RNA
Source: RNAcentral
GUUUUGAUUAUGGCUCAGAUUGAACGCUGGCGGGAUGCUUUACACAUGCAAGUCGAACGGCAGCAUCGACUUCGGUCUGGUGGCGAGUGGCGAACGGGGUGAGUAAUGUAUCGAAACGUGCCUAGUAGCGGGGGAUAACUACGCGAAAGCGUAGCUAAUACCGCAUACGCCCUUCGGGGGAAAGCGGGGACCUUCGGGCUUCGCACUAGAGCGGCCGAUAUCGGAUUAGCUAGUUGGUGGGGUAACGGCUCACCAAGGCGACGAUCCGUAGCUGGUUUGAGAGGACGACCAGCCACACUGGACCGAGACACGGCCCAGACUCCUACGGGAGGCAGCAGUGGGAAUUUUGGACAAUGGGGGAAACCCUGAUCCAGCCAUCCCGCGUGUGCGAUGAAGGCCUUCGGGUUGUAAAGCACUUUUGGCAGGAAAGAAACGGCACGGGAUAAUACCCCGUGCAACUGACGGUACCUGCAGAAUAAGCACCGGCUAACUACGCCAGCAGUCGCGGUAAUACGUAGGGUGCAAGCGUUAAUCGGAAUUACUGCUAAAGCGUGCGCAGGCGGUUCGGAAAGAAAGAUGUGAAAUCCCAGAGCUUAACUUUGAACUGCAUUUUUAACUACCGAGCGAGUGUGUCAGAGGAGGUGGAAUUCGCGUAGCAGUGAAAUGUAGAUAUGCGGAGGAACACCGAUGGCGAAGGCAGCCUCCUGGGAUAACACUGACGCUCAUGCACGAAAGCGUGGGGAGCAAACAGGACAUACCCUGGUAGUCCACGCCCCAAACGAUGUCAACUAGCUGUUGGGGCCUUCGGGCCUGGUAGCGCAGCUAACGCGUGAAGUUGACCGCCUGGGGAGUACGGUCGCAAGAUUAAAACCAAAGGAAUUGACGGGGACCCGCACAAGCGGUGGAUGAUGUGGAUUAAUUCGAUGCAACGCGAAAACCUUACCUACCCUUGACAUGUCUGGAAUCCCGAAGAGAUUUGGGAGGCUCGUGAGAACCGGAACACAGGUGUUGCAUGGCUGUCGUCAGCUCGUGUCGUGAGAUGUUGGGUUAAGUCCCGCAAAUGAGCGCAACCCUUGUCAUUAGUUGCUACAAAGGGCACUCUAAUGAGACUGCCGGUGACAAACCGAGGAAGGGGAUGACGUCAAGUCCUCAUGGCCCUUAUGGGUAGGGCUUCACACGUCAUACAAUGGUCGGGACAGAGGGUCGCCAACCCGCGAGGGGGAGCCAAUCCCAGAAACCCGAUCGUAGUCCGGAUCGCAGUCUGCAACUCAACUGCGUGAAGUCGGAAUCGCUAGUACCCGCGGAUCAGCAUGUCGCGGUGAAUACGUUCCCGGGUCUUGUACACACUGCCCGUCACACCAUGGGAGUGGGUUUACCAGAAGUAGUUAGCCUAACCGUAAGGGGAGGGCGAUUACCACGGUAGGAUUCAUGACUGGGGUGAAGUCGUAACAAGGUAG